This 324-nucleotide ribosomal RNA is filed under the name uncultured eukaryote. RNAcentral describes it as "partial 18S ribosomal RNA". It matches the Rfam family "Eukaryotic small subunit ribosomal RNA", at positions 1470 to 1796 of the family's 1831-position model. The record is from RNAcentral.
CCCUUAGAUGUUCUGGGCUGCACGCGCGCUACACUGAAGCUAUCAACACGUUUUCCCUCCCUGAGAAGGGCGGGUAACCUUUUGAAUCAGCUUCGUGGUAGGGAUCGGGGCUUGCAAUUGUUCCCCGUGAACCAGGAAUUCCUAGUAGACGCGAGUCAUAAGCUCGCAUCGAUUAAGUCCCUGCCCUUUGUACACACCGCCCGUCGCUACUACCGAUUGAACGUUUUAGUGAGGCAUUUGGACCGACGCAUCUCAGUUUAACCGCUGGUUUGUGUUGGAAAGACUUCCAAACUUGUGCGUUUAGAGGAAGUAAAAGUCGUAACA